This 440-nucleotide ribosomal RNA is filed under the name uncultured bacterium. RNAcentral describes it as "partial 16S ribosomal RNA". It matches the Rfam family "Bacterial small subunit ribosomal RNA", at positions 338 to 795 of the family's 1533-position model. The record is from RNAcentral.
CCUACGGGAGGCAGCAGUAGGGAAUAUUGCUCAAUGGGGGAAACCCUGACGCAGCAACGCCGCGUGGAGGAUGAAGGUUUUCGGAUUGUAAACUCCUUUUGUUAGAGAAGAUCAUGACGUUUUCUAACGAAUAGUCACCUGCUAACUCCGUGCCAGCAGCCGCGGUAAUACUGAGGGUGCACGCGUUACUCGGAAUCACUGGGCGUAAGGAGCGCGUAGGCGGGAUAGCAAGUCAGAUGUGAAAUCCUAUGGCUUAACCAUAGAACUGCAUUUGAAACUGUUAUUCUAGAGUAUGGGAGAGGUAGGUGGAAUUCCAGGUGUAGGAGUAAAAUCCGUAGAGAUCAAGAGGAAGACGCAUGGCGAAGGCGACCAGCUAGAACAUAACUGACGCUGAUGCGCGAAAGCGUGGGGAGCAAACAGGAUUAGAUACCCUAGUAGUC